RNAcentral lists this ribosomal RNA (305 nucleotides) under uncultured bacterium. Its description in RNAcentral is "bacterial SSU rRNA". It matches the Rfam family "Bacterial small subunit ribosomal RNA", at positions 335 to 658 of the family's 1533-position model. The record is from RNAcentral.
GUCCUACGGGGCGCAGCAGUAAGGGAUAUUGGUCAAUGGGGGAAACCCUGAACCAGCAACGCCGCGUGAGGGAAGACGGUUUUCGGAUUGUAAACCUCUGUCCUCUGUGAAGAUGAUGACGGUAGCAGAGGAGGAAGCUCCGGCUAACUACGUGCCAGCAGCCGCGGUAAUACGUAGGUGGCAAGCGUUAUCCGGAUUUAUUGGGUGUAAAGGGCGUGUAGGCGGGAAUGCAAGUCAGAUGUGAAAACUAUGGGCUCAACCCAUAGCCUGCAUUUGAAACUGUAUUUCUUGAGUGCUGGAGAGGG